UGGGGAAUUUUGGACAAUGGGCGAAAGCCUGAUCCAGCAAUGCCGCGUGUGUGAAGAAGGCCUUCGGGUUGUAAAGCACUUUUGUCCGGAAAGAAAUGGCUCUGGUUAAUACCUGGGGUCGAUGACGGUACCGGAAGAAUAAGGACCGGCUAACUACGUGCCAGCAGCCGCGGUAAUACGUAGGGUCCAAGCGUUAAUCGGAAUUACUGGGCGUAAAGCGUGCGCAGGCGGGUUGUGCAAGACCGUGUGAAAUCCCCGAGCUUAACUUGGGAAUUGCAUUGGUGACUGCACGGCUAGAGUGUGUCAGAGGGGGGUAGAAUUCCACGUGUAGCAGUGAAAUGCGUAGAGAUGUGGAGGAAUACCGAUGGCGAAGGCAGCCCCCU
RNAcentral lists this ribosomal RNA (383 nucleotides) under uncultured bacterium. Its description in RNAcentral is "partial 16S ribosomal RNA". It matches the Rfam family "Bacterial small subunit ribosomal RNA", at positions 355 to 730 of the family's 1533-position model. The record is from RNAcentral.